AUUCCAGGGAUCUAAAGCCUCACAGUGUCAGCUCUAUUACUAAAGGGUGAGUACAUUAACAAAAUAAUAACAAAAUAAUGUUUUAUGACAUGUUUACAUUGUGUGUGUGGGUGGGUAGGUGGUUGUUUUCUUUUUAUUUAUUAAUUUAUUUUUAUUUUCAUUUUUGGUUUCUGGAUAUAUAUCUAUAUAGAGACUUCCACGGCAAUCUAUGCAAAGACUGAAUAAGUCACUAAAGUUGCCAAGUGUAUUUCUACACAAACACUCUGUAAUGGCAACAUGAAUUAAACCACUACAUGUGACACAUUAUUCCACACUGUUUGUGUCUUUCCAACUUCACAGGCCACUGCUUCCAUUUCUAGCCAAAAAUCGCUCAAACGUAACCUCACAAAACAAUGUGUCUGACAGUGAUAUUUCUGGACGGCAUUUCUUAUUUGAUAAACGAUGGAGAAAUGGAACUUACUUCACUAAUGGCAUUGAAGGUGAUGUUCUGAUAAACCACAACCCUACAAAUCCACUGUCUCAGGACUUCCAUGUGUAUCGCUCUCACAAUCUAACCAGAUUCGCCCACCGCAAAGAACUCUGCCUGCGCGACCCAAGACCACUUAUUUGCGGGUCUGAUUAUCUGGCUUCAUUUCCAUCAGUUCUGUUACCAGCCACCACCCCAUCUGUCAGUGGACGGCUCUGUUUAUCACAAAACUAUAAAAACAGAUUAAGGAUGAAAACCAGAGCACGAAAUCUCUUCGAUGGCGCUAACAAAACCUGUGGGCCGGUAAUUGUUUUUCAGCCCAAUCGUACCCUGAUCCACACCUGGGUGCCUCGGCCUCUUUUGUUCAGAGGCUCACAGAGAUUUCUUGUCUGGAAGCAGAAACAGUGCGGCAGGAGAGAAUGAAGAGACUCAAAAAGAUCAAUAGGCAGGAUUCUUAAUCGGAGUUCAUUAGCCAAAGAGGAAACACUUGACUCUUGAAAUCACAGCUGUGCCAAGAUGGAGCAAAUAAAAUCAAGGAGAAAAACUUGAGAGGUACAGAGUGUUAAUGCACAGUCCCUGUACUGUAACUGAAAUGAAAACGAUGACGUCAGCAACAAUUUAUAUCUCUGGUGUAAAACUAUCAGGGAUUGUUGAAUUUAAAAUCAAAUUUACAUGAAAGUGUAUCAUGUACUCGCCAAGAAUAACUGCCUUAACAUUGCCUUAAACUACAGUGAUGAUGGAAUUAUAGCACUUAUAUACGUUUUCUAAAUCAUGUUGCAUAUAUGAAAAAACUUUGUGUACUGCCGUGUGUACUUAAUAUGAUCAUAUCCAAAUAAACAUAUUUUGUCAAAGAUACAAAUUCUUUCAUUGACAUCUAAAAGUUAAGAACUGCAUUAUAAAAUAAUAUGAAACUCUAAGUGUAUUAUAUUGUUGAUUGAUAGUUUUGAUAGUCUUGUAUAUCAGCCAAUAGCAAUCACAAACAAAUGGCUGCUGUAUGUUUUAGCUGAUAAUACACUGUACAUUAGAGAUACAUCAGUAGUUGAACUCAGGUUGGAGGCUGCACCUUUGUGCAGGUUUUCCUGGAAAGCGUGGGAGAGCUCCAUUCUACACCAAAGUGUCUUUUGUCAAAAGGAAAAGGGCCAGGUUGAUUCGGUUCAAGACUAGGUUGGCACAUUCUGGGCAGAGAGAAGAACGAUAAUGUCUUUUUGGCUUCAAGACUUCACCUGCAAUGAGAAGGAUAUUAUUAUUUUAGGUUAUUAUUAUUAUUAUUGUUAAAUAAUGACAUAUACACA
Molecule: long non-coding RNA, 1758 nt
Organism: Cyprinus carpio carpio
Lineage: Eukaryota; Metazoa; Chordata; Actinopteri; Cypriniformes; Cyprinidae
Source: Ensembl